GUGUUGUUUGGAAGGAGAGAAGGUUAGCAUUCCCCUCGAUGAAGAUGGAAGAGGUCCUAGUGGACCUUCACAACACACAUACAGUUAGGAUAUUGCCAUCCUGGGUAGAAAAGCUAAAGUAAUGC
This 125-nucleotide non-coding RNA is filed under the name Notamacropus eugenii (tammar wallaby). Lineage: Eukaryota; Metazoa; Chordata; Mammalia; Diprotodontia; Macropodidae. The record is from RNAcentral.